UGGGGGAACUAUUCCUUUAAAUAAACCAGUGUGUGAUACUAUGGUAAAAUGCGUUAAGUAAUUUCCUGUGCAGUCCAGGAACACCUCCCUUGGUUACUGGAAACAUUCCGGCCGGGUUUGGUGCUCUAUGAUUCUGGAGUGGAUCCACACUGGGAGGAUGAACUUGGAAGACUUCAUCUCACAGAUGAAGGACUUUACCAGAGGGAUCUUUAUGUUCUUCAGACAGUCAUUAAAAGGGGCAUUCCUGUGGCUACUGUCAUUGGAGGAGGCUAUUCCAGAGAUAUUGAUCGACUGGCGCGCAGGCACUCAAUAAUUCACAGAGCUGCAUCAAAGGUUUGGAGAGAACAUGGACUUUAACUCCGAGAUGAAAAUGGACAGCAGGUGCUAAACAAUCUAAGAUUGGUGGGACCAUAUGAACGUUCCGCAGUGCCAUUGUAUGCAAUAGAUUUUAUGAAUAAAAAUGCCGUAUUUAUUCAAGCGAUCCUUUCAAUUCUUACUCUUUUAAUAAUGUUUUUUUUUCAUUAUUAUUAUUAUUAUUU
RNAcentral lists this long non-coding RNA (539 nucleotides) under Sinocyclocheilus grahami. RNAcentral describes it as "lncRNA (ENSSGRG00000016737.1)". Lineage: Eukaryota; Metazoa; Chordata; Actinopteri; Cypriniformes; Cyprinidae. The record is from RNAcentral.